This 1345-nucleotide ribosomal RNA is filed under the name uncultured bacterium. Its description in RNAcentral is "bacterial SSU rRNA". It matches the Rfam family "Bacterial small subunit ribosomal RNA", at positions 28 to 1381 of the family's 1533-position model. The record is from RNAcentral.
GAUGAACGCUAGCGGGAGGCCUAACACAUGCAAGCCGAGCGGUAUUGUUUCUUCGGAAAUGAGAGAGCGGCGUACGGGUGCGGAACACGUGUGCAACCUGCCUUUAUCUGGGGGAUAGCCUUUCGAAAGGAAGAUUAAUACUCCAUAAUAUAUUGAACGGCAUCGUUUAAUAUUGAAAGCUCCGGCGGAUAGAGAUGGGCACGCGCAAGAUUAGCUAGUUGGUGAGGUAACGGCUCACCAAGGCGAUGAUCUUUAGGGGGCCUGAGAGGGUGAUCCCCCACACUGGUACUGAGACACGGACCAGACUCCUACGGGAGGCAGCAGUGAGGAAUAUUGGUCAAUGGGUGCAAGCCUGAACCAGCCAUCCCGCGUGAAGGACGACUGCCCUAUGGGUUGUAAACUUCUUUUGUAUAGGGAUAAACCUACCCUCGUGAGGGUAGCUGAAGGUACUAUACGAAUAAGCACCGGCUAACUCCGUGCCAGCAGCCGCGGUAAUACGGAGGGUGCAAGCGUUAUCCGAAUUUAUUGGGUUUAAAGGGUCCGUAGGCGGACUUAUAAGUCAGUGGUGAAAGCCUGUCGCUUAACGAUAGAACUGCCAUUGAUACUGUAAGUCUUGAGUAUAUUUGAGGUAGCUGGAAUAAGUAGUGUAGCGGUGAAAUGCAUAGAUAUUACUUAGAACACCAAUUGCGAAGGCAGGUUACCAAGAUAUAACUGACGCUGAGGGACGAAAGCGUGGGGAGCGAACAGGAUUAGAUACCCUGGUAGUCCACGCCGUAAACGAUGCUAACUCGUUUUUGGGCUUUAGGGUUCAGAGACCAAGCGAAAGUGAUAAGUUAGCCACCUGGGGAGUACGCUCGCAAAAGUGAAACUCAAAGGAAUUGACGGGGGCCCGCACAAGCGGUGGAUUAUGUGGUUUAAUUCGAUGAUACGCGAGGAACCUUACCAAGACUUAAAUGGGAAUUGACAGCUUUAGAAAUAGAGCUUUCUUCGGACAAUUUUCAAGGUGCUGCAUGGUUGUCGUCAGCUCGUGCCGUGAGGUGUUAGGUUAAGUCCUGCAACGAGCGCAACCCCUGUCACUAGUUGCCAUCAUUCAGUUGGGGACUCUAGUGAGACUGCCUACGCAAGUAGAGAGGAAGGUGGGGAUGACGUCAAAUCAUCACGGCCCUUACGUCUUGGGCCACACACGUAAUACAAUGGCCGGUACAGAGGGCAGCUACACAGCGAUGUGAUGCAAAUCUCGAAAGCCGGUCUCAGUUCGGAUUGGAGUCUGCAACUCGACUCUAUGAAGCUGGAAUCGCUAGUAAUCGCGCAUCAGCCAUGGCGCGGUGAAUACGUUCCCGGGCCU